AUCACAAAACAAUACAUACAGCCACCAUUUACUACACCGUCACCGUAAUAAUAACGAAUAGCUACUACUACUUAUUAUUACUUUUUCAUAAUAAAUAAUACUAAUAAAGACAUUUUUAGUCUAAAGCAUUUUCAAAGUAUUCUUAAAUUGCAUAUUGAUUUACAGUUUAAAUAUUGUUUAAGAAUUAAUUGUUAAAAAUAAAUAAUUAUUUAAACAGAAAAAAAAAAUAAUCUGUACAUUUAAAUUAGUGAGUUUCUUUGGAUUGGUUUUAAUUGUACACACAUAAUAAAUAAUAACUAAUGUUCAUAUUUGAUAUAACGUGGCAUGUAUAUUAUAUUCUGAUAGUAACAGAAAUUGAAGCUACAGUAACAAUGGCUUAUAAUUUAUUUUAAAAUAUAUCCAAGACAUAAAAUAUUACACAGUUAAUUAUGUUAACGUAAAUUUCUAAAAUUAAAAUAACAUCAGAAAAUGCAUUGUUUAUUCUGUGGACGUUUGGCAUCAAAUUGCGUAUUUUUUAAUUUAAACAAGUGUAAUAUUAAAACAAAAUUUUAUGACAGGAUGUCUUAAAAAUUAUUACAUUUUGUAUUUGUGCCUUAUUUGACAUGUUAAAAGAACACAGACUGGACUAUAAAACUGCUGAUAGAAACUUUUGGCGCAAACAUUUUUAUUGUACGCACCAAAUACUAAUACAAAAAAUCUAACUUCUUUGAAAAUGCUAUAGGCUAAAAUAAAAAAGAUUUAGAAGGUUAUAUUAGUGAUGGCCAGUGGGUAUUCACUAUCACUUCAUUAUAAUUAUAAGUAUUUCAUGAAAAAAACUAGAUUCUACAUUAUCCAUAUUCAAUCAAGAUAAAAUUUGGUAAGUGUAAAAGUAAAUAAUACUUAUAAUAUUGUUUGUGUUCAUAUGUUUAUUUUUAAUACUUAUUAAUAUUUUAAAGGUAAAUCUGUUUUUGUUUGGCUCAUCACUAUUAAGUAGGAUUUCUCAAAUUAUAAAAUGUUUGUUUUGUUUUUAACUACAUUAUUUAAACUAAUACAAUUUUUAUUUUAGAUUUUGAGCAGAAGAAAGAGUCAUUAGUAAAAUGGACUACAGCAAGGUUGUCUUGAGAAUCAAGCCUAAGCCAUAUGUAUACAACUGCUCAAAACCUUCUGUUAUAUUGUUUGUAUACAAAAUCAAAAUCAUAACAAGUUUAAUUUGAGAAAUGCUUAAUCAAGGCAUGCGUAAAUAAUGGGAAGUAUAAAGGUAAAUAUAAUUUUGAAUGAUUUUUAGACAUAAUAAUUGUUUUUCAUUUAAAAUGAUAUAAUUUAUAAUAUAUUUAUAAAUUAAUAUCAUAUAUUGUUAAUAUUUACCCUUAUAACUUAAAAAGACGCCGACACAACCAGUAUUUAAGAAGUUUAAUGCAAGCAUGAUAUAUUGAGGAGAAUUAAGAUUUUAAACAUUAAGUACAAUUAAUUACUAUUACUUGGUUUACAUUGGUUUUGCAUAACAAGAUUAUAUAGAAGAACGGUUUUACGUGGCACAAACUUACAAGACAGUACAAUAUUUUCAGCAGAUUUACCAAAUUGUCUCACUGCAUAGCAAAUAACUUUACCUCAUAGCAUUUUUAUGUAAAUCCUUGCACUAAUUUAUAGUAAAAAAAUGAAUCUUCACGAAUUAAUGAUCUUAGUUAUCUUUAAAGCUUAAGUUUUUCUCUGUGAACUAUAAAGCUUUAGUAAAGCUUCUGCAAAUAUUGUCUCCGUAUGUUUGUUUCACUCAAAACUAUUUUCAUAUAAUUGAUAGGUGGUAUGACGUCCUCUUAAAUCCCAAUUACAAAUAAUACAAUAAUAACAAUACAUAUAACAAUCAGAUAAAAUGCUCUAAUUGCACUACUUGUGCUCUAUGAAUACUAUGUGUAAUAAAAUAUAACAAAGUGAACAAAUUAUACUUAGUACAUCACGUCUUAUUACCACAAAAACAUACAUGACAAUAUACAAACAUAAAUUACACAAAUAACACAAAAUAUAAAACAGUCAACAAAACCUUUUUCCCACUUGAAUUUUCAACAAAAUUUGAGAGACCACAAUGCAUUUAAUUCAUUAAAAUGAAGAAGAUAAAUUCCUUUUAAUAUUCUCAUAAAACAUAAAAUAUAUAGGUGACUAAUAUGUGGCUUCUUUAAAGUCUUAGCUUCCUCUGAAAUCAUUUUUUAUAUGAAUAUUUCAUUAGCAUUUUUUAAUCAUAAUUCUGCAGGACACCCACUGAUUUUUUGAAAACCUAGCACUUAUGUAUAAGUUUAAUUUGAAAUUUUUAAAAUUAAUAAUAUAGUAAUUAAGUAUAGAUAAGUGUUAAAACUGAUAUUUUUCAUAAGUGAUAAAUCAAGUAUCAAACAAUAAUUAAUAAGAAUAAAAGCCUUUUAUUGCUACCAGUUUGGUUUUUAGCACUGUUGUAGAUAACUGUGGUCUUAGUAUGCAAUACACUAUCCUAAAUUUGAUAUGUAGAAAAAAAUAGAUUAUAUUUUAAAACAAUUUACUAUUCGAUUCAAUGGUAAAUAUAUCUUACUCCCAUUCACUUGCAGUUGUGUACAACUGUAAAAUGUUGACCUCUAAACAUAACAUUACACAUAUUUGUACACACAUUGAUACUCAUUACUCAGUUAAGAAUCUCAACAUAACAUAUUAACUUGCAUACACACGAAAGUCCUAUUUUAAUAACAUUUUUACAAUGCAAAUCAUAAAAGUGGUUUUUUU
Molecule: long non-coding RNA, 2718 nt
Organism: Myzus persicae (green peach aphid)
Lineage: Eukaryota; Metazoa; Arthropoda; Insecta; Hemiptera; Aphididae
Exons: 2
Source: RefSeq, a predicted model, not a curated record